This 459-nucleotide ribosomal RNA is filed under the name uncultured bacterium. RNAcentral's name for it is "partial 16S ribosomal RNA". It matches the Rfam family "Bacterial small subunit ribosomal RNA", at positions 338 to 795 of the family's 1533-position model. The record is from RNAcentral.
CCUACGUGAGGCUGCAGUGAGGAAUAUUGGUCAAUGGGCGAGAGCCUGAACCAGCCAAGUCGCGUGAGGGAGUACUGCCCUAUGGGUUGUAAACCUCUUUUGUCGGGGAGCAAAAGCCGGACGUGUCCGGCUGUGAGAGUACCCGAAGAAAAAGCAUCGGCUAACUCCGUGCCAGCAGCCGCGGUAAUACGGAGGAUGCGAGCGUUAUCCGGAUUUAUUGGGUUUAAAGGGUGCGUAGGCGGUCAGGUAAGUUAGAGGUGAAAGCUCGAUGCUCAACAUCGAAACUGCCUCUGAUACUGUCUGACUAGAGUGUAGUUGCGGAAGGCGGAAUGUGUGGUGUAGCGGUGAAAUGCUUAGAUAUCACACAGAACACCGAUUGCGAAGGCAGCUUUCCAAGCUAUUACUGACGCUGAGGCACGAAAGCGUGGGGAGCGAACAGGAUUAGAUACCCUUGUAGUC